CAUCAUCAUCAUCAUCACUGCUGUCAUCAUCUAUCAUCAUCAUCAUCA
This 48-nucleotide small nucleolar RNA is filed under the name Brugia malayi. RNAcentral describes it as "snoRNA Bm16830". Lineage: Eukaryota; Metazoa; Nematoda; Chromadorea; Rhabditida; Onchocercidae. The record is from RNAcentral.